Molecule: ribosomal RNA, 501 nt
Filed under: uncultured bacterium
Lineage: Bacteria
Description: bacterial SSU rRNA
Rfam family: Bacterial small subunit ribosomal RNA
Source: RNAcentral
AGCGAACGCUGGCGGCAGGCCUAACACAUGCAAGUCGAACGGCCGUAGCAAUACGGCAGUGGCAGACGGGUGAGUAACACGUGGGAAUGUACCCUUCGGUUCGGAAAAACUCAGGGAAACUUGAGCUAAUACCGGAUACGCCCUUACGGGGAAAGAUCUAUCGCCGAAGGAUCAGCCCGCGUCCGAUUAGCUAGUUGGUGGGGUAAUGGCCCACCAAGGCUCCGAUCGGUAGCUGGUCUGAGAGGAUGAUCAGCCACACUGGGACUGAGACACGGCCCAGACUCCUACGGGAGGCAGCAGUGGGGAAUAUUGGACAAUGGGCGCAAGCCUGAUCCAGCCAUGCCGCGUGAGUGAUGAAGGCCCUAGGGUUGUAAAGCUCUUUCGGCGGGGAAGAGUAAUGACGGUACCCGCAGAAGAAGCCCCGGCUAACUUCGUGCCAGCAGCCGCGGUAAUACGAAGGGGCUAGCGUUGCUCGGAAUCACUGGGCGUAAAGCGCACGUA